AACGCGAAGAACCUUACCAAGGCUUGACAUACACCGGAAACGGCCAGAGAUGGUCGCCCCCUUGUGGUCGGUGUACAGGUGGUGUAUGGCUGUCGUCAGCUCGUGUCGUGAGAUGUUGGGUUAAGUCCCGCAACGAGCGCAACCCUUGUUCUGUGUUGCCAGCAUGCCCUUCGGGGUGAUGGGGACUCACAGGAGACUGCCGGGGUCAACUCGGAGGAAGGUGGGGACGACGUCAAGUCAUCAUGCCCCUUAUGCCUUGGGCUGCACACGUGCUACAAUGGCAGGUACAAUGAGCUGCGAAGCCGUGAGGCGGAGCGAAUCUCAAAAAGCCUGUCUCAGUUCGGAUUGGGGUCUGCAACUCGACCCCAUGAAGUCGGAGUUGCUAGUAAUCGCAGAUCAGCAGUGCUGCGGUGAAUACGUUCCCGGGCCUUGUACACACCG
RNAcentral lists this ribosomal RNA (441 nucleotides) under uncultured Streptomyces sp. RNAcentral's name for it is "bacterial SSU rRNA". It matches the Rfam family "Bacterial small subunit ribosomal RNA", at positions 958 to 1392 of the family's 1533-position model. Lineage: Bacteria; Bacillati; Actinomycetota; Actinomycetes; Kitasatosporales; Streptomycetaceae. The record is from RNAcentral.